Molecule: non-coding RNA, 267 nt
Organism: Cinara cedri
Lineage: Eukaryota; Metazoa; Arthropoda; Insecta; Hemiptera; Aphididae
Source: the annotation of a GenBank genome assembly
AACAUCGUUUCAUAUAAUAAAAAUGAAUUGUAGUUUUAUUUUAAUCACGGAUUAAAUCUAUUUUUAACGGUUUAUGAACGAAAACAUGGUUUAAAUGUUUCCAUAUCUACAUUCUUAAAAUUGCAAUUUUUUCUAUCGAUUGCCUAAAUAUGUAUUAUUACCAUCCUUUAAAUAAACUCGAAAUUUUUUCCACAAGACCACCACGUUAUGUGUUGAAUAAUUCGUUGGCAUUGUAAACGAGUCUGCACUGAUUGUAGCUUUCACUAA